AGAAAAGUAAGCUAAAUUAAGCUAAUGGGUUCAUACCCCAUAUAUAGAGUAUAACACUCUCUUCUCUA
Molecule: transfer RNA, 68 nt
Filed under: Amitermes laurensis
Lineage: Eukaryota; Metazoa; Arthropoda; Insecta; Blattodea; Termitidae
Also listed under: 33 other names
Description: tRNA-Met
Source: RNAcentral